CAGUGAGUGGAAUGAGGUGGGGGAGUGAGAGGAGAGAGUAGGAGCAGAGAUGGGAAGCCUGGCCAGUGGAGGCAUCCCAGGCCUGCUCUGAGGAGGUGCCAUAGCCCUGAGAGACCGAGGUCAGUGACCUAACACAGCAGACAGCUGAGCUCACAGGCCUCCGCGACCCGGAGGAGGAACCUCAAGGAGGAACCGGACCCCUCCUCGCAGGGCUGCUACCGCCACACAGAAGGGGCCCAUUCUGCUUACAGGCCAUUCCUGCCACCAGUUUCCCUCCGCCCGACCUCCAUUGCCUGGGUGCUCAAUCCUCCGAAACUCUAUGCCAUCCCCUUUUUAGUCCUGCCUCCCAACGUUCUGAAAAGAUGAAGAAGGCAUCCUUGUCACCUCGAGGUUGGUGACCCCGGUAGAUCAAAUGGCAAGCAUGAGUGUCAGGGGUGAUUUGAGAAGAAAGAUGGAAGUUUGCAAAAUGAGAUUUUAUAGAUGGAAUCUCACCAUAAGAAAUUUGAGAGUUCAUAACUAUUCUGAAAAUAGUUGUUAUCUGCAUUAAGACAACUGUAUAAAUAAAGGAAUCAGUGAUGCAGCCGGUUGGAGAGUU
Molecule: long non-coding RNA, 595 nt
Filed under: Sus scrofa (pig)
Lineage: Eukaryota; Metazoa; Chordata; Mammalia; Artiodactyla; Suidae
Description: lncRNA (ENSSSCG00065077314.1)
Source: RNAcentral